Ornithodoros turicata is the source of this 351-nucleotide long non-coding RNA. RefSeq lists it as uncharacterized. NCBI's taxonomy places the organism in Eukaryota, Metazoa, Arthropoda, Arachnida, Ixodida, Argasidae. The record is from RefSeq and is a predicted model, not a curated record. The transcript has 3 exons.
CCCGUCCAGCUUGCCUUUCUUGCUUGAAAAUUAAGGGCAUCCAGCUUCGUUGAGAUUCCGUUUUGAGCACCUGCUGACAAAUGCCGACGACCCUACGCCAGCCGCGUCGUACGAGGGUAACCCUCAAGUAAUAGCAUUUCGAAAGAUAAUGCAAUAGGUGCUGGAACAGCAGCAUGUCAACAAGUGCCUGAUCCCACCAAAGGAGGAGAUGUACGCAACUCAAGCCAUCAACUGGCUCAUGGAUUACAUAUCAGGCUGACCAGGUCUACGAAUGGCUUCAUCGAGGCUGUGGUGUUCGACACAUGUGACGUCACUACAAUCGGCUCCGUAAAUAAAUAAUGACCGAGAUUA